RNAcentral lists this ribosomal RNA (253 nucleotides) under uncultured bacterium. RNAcentral describes it as "partial 16S ribosomal RNA". It matches the Rfam family "Bacterial small subunit ribosomal RNA", at positions 524 to 776 of the family's 1533-position model. The record is from RNAcentral.
UACGUAGGUGGCAAGCGUUGUCCGGAUUUACUGGGCGUAAAGAGCGCGCAGGCGGUCUUGUAAGUCGAGUGUGAAAGCCCCUGGCUCAACCAGGGAGGGUCAUUCGAUACUGCUUGACUCGAAGGCAGGAGAGGGAAGUGGAAUUCCGGGUGUAGUGGUGAAAUGCGUAGAUAUCCGGAGGAACACCAGUGGCGAAGGCGACUUUCUGGCCUGUUCUUGACGCUGAGGCGCGAAAGCUAGGGGAGCAAACGGG